RNAcentral lists this ribosomal RNA (253 nucleotides) under uncultured bacterium. RNAcentral's name for it is "partial 16S ribosomal RNA". It matches the Rfam family "Bacterial small subunit ribosomal RNA", at positions 524 to 776 of the family's 1533-position model. The record is from RNAcentral.
UACGGAGGAUGCAAGCGUUAUCCGGAAUGAUUGGGCGUAAAGCGUCCGCAGGUGGCUAUGUAAGUCUGCUGUUAAAGAGUGAGGCUCAACCUCAUAAGAGCAGUGGAAACUACAUGGCUAGAGUGCGUUCGGGGCAGAGGGAAUUCCUGGUGUAGCGGUGAAAUGCGUAGAGAUCAGGAAGAACACCGGUGGCGAAAGCGCUCUACUGGACGGUGACUGACACUCAGGGACGAAAGCUAGGGGAGCGAAUGGG